GAUGAACGCUGGCGGCGUGCCUAAUACAUGCAAGUCGAGCGAAUGGAUUGAGAGCUUGCUCUUAUGAAGUUAGCGGCGGACGGGUGAGUAACACGUGGGUAACCUGCCCAUAAGACUGGGAUAACUCCGGGAAACCGGGGCUAAUACCAGAUAACAUUUUGAACCGCAUGGUUCGAAAUUGAAAGGCGGCUUCGGCUGUCACUUAUGGAUGGACCCGCGUCGCAUUAGCUAGCUGGUGAGGUAACGGCUCACCAAGGCAACGAUGCGUAGCCGACCUGAGAGGGUGAUCGGCCACACUGGGACUGAGACACGGCCCAGACUCCUACGGGAGGCAGCAGUAGGGAAUCUUCCGCAAUGGACGAAAGUCUGACGGAGCAACGCCGCGUGAGUGAUGAAGGCUUUCGGGUCGUAAAACUCUGUUGUUAGGGAAGAACAAGUGCUAGUUGAAUAAGCUGGCACCUUGACGGUACCUAACCAGAAAGCCACGGCUAACUACGUGCCAGCCGCCGCCGUAA
RNAcentral lists this ribosomal RNA (515 nucleotides) under uncultured bacterium. RNAcentral's name for it is "partial 16S ribosomal RNA". It matches the Rfam family "Bacterial small subunit ribosomal RNA", at positions 28 to 523 of the family's 1533-position model. The record is from RNAcentral.